CCGGUCUCGCAGUUAAUAACAGUCUUCCCCUUCAUCACAUUGCAGCCAGCGUUUCAUUGCAGUAUCAAGGUGGUAGAGAAUUGACUUUCAACGUUUCAGCAUCUGAUGAAAAGAGGGUGCUGGGGUCUGAACUUAAGUACUCAUGCAUGAGCAGAAAGCACUGUGCCAAUGGAGCUAUCUCUCUAGCCCCCAUUCUUUAAUUAUCUUCAGAAAGCUCCCCUGACUUCAACCCAGGACCCUCCCACAGCUUCCAUGAACUUUGAAGGGUCAGUCUGAUUUUAAACCCAUGGAUGUCCUGCAUCAGCCUCCUGAGUACUGGGAUUGAAG
Meriones unguiculatus (Mongolian gerbil) is the source of this 327-nucleotide long non-coding RNA. RefSeq lists it as uncharacterized. The record is from RefSeq and is a predicted model, not a curated record. NCBI's taxonomy places the organism in Eukaryota, Metazoa, Chordata, Mammalia, Rodentia, Muridae. The transcript is spliced from 3 exons.